AUGGCUCAGAUUGAACGCUAGCGGGAUGCCUUACACAUGCAAGUCGAACGGCAGCACGGACUUCGGUCUGGUGGCGAGUGGCGAACGGGUGAGUAAUGUAUCGGAACGUGCCUAGUAGCGGGGGAUAACUACGCGAAAGCGUAGCUAAUACCGCAUACGCCCUACGGGGGAAAGCAGGGGAUCGCAAGACCUUGCACUAUUAGAGCGGCCGAUAUCGGAUUAGCUAGUUGGUGGGGUAACGGCUCACCAAGGCGACGAUCCGUAGCUGGUUUGAGAGGACGACCAGCCACACUGGGACUGAGACACGGCCCAGACUCCUACGGGAGGCAGCAGUGGGGAAUUUUGGACAAUGGGGGAAACCCUGAUCCAGCCAUCCCGCGUGUGCGAUGAAGGCCUUCGGGUUGUAAAGCACUUUUGGCAGGAAAGAAACGUCAUGGGUUAAUACCCCGUGAAACUGACGGUACCUGCAGAAUAAGCACCGGCUAACUACGUGCCAGCAGCCGCGGUAAUACGUAGGGUGCAAGCGUUAAUCGGAAUUACUGGGCGUAAAGCGUGCGCAGGCGGUUCGGAAAGAAAGAUGUGAAAUCCCAGAGCUUAACUUUGGAACUGCAUUUUUAACUACCGAGCUAGAGUGUGUCAGAGGGAGGUGGAAUUCCGCGUGUAGCAGUGAAAUGCGUAGAUAUGCGGAGGAACACCGAUGGCGAAGGCAGCCUCCUGGAU
Molecule: ribosomal RNA, 720 nt
Filed under: Achromobacter sp. 110602_136_C_C9
Lineage: Bacteria; Pseudomonadati; Pseudomonadota; Betaproteobacteria; Burkholderiales; Alcaligenaceae
Description: bacterial SSU rRNA
Rfam family: Bacterial small subunit ribosomal RNA
Source: RNAcentral